GACGAACGCUGGCGGCGUGCCUAAUACAUGCAAGUCGAACGGAUAGCGCCAGGUUUUUGCGGCUUUCAUGUGGGUGGCGAACGGGGGAGCAACACGUGGACAACCUGUCUCAAGGCUGGGGACAUCAGUUGGAAACAGAUACUAAUGCAGAAGAGAACCUAGUGCCUCAUGACACAUAGUAAAAUGGCGCUUUGGGGUCUCCUAUCGAUGGUUCCGCGGUGCAUUAGUUGGUUGGUGGGUUAAAGGCCUACCAAGGCAAGGAGGCAUAGCCGAGUUGUGAGACGGAUCGGCCGCAUUAGGACUGAACCACGGACCAAAGUCCUACGAGAGGCUGCAGUAUGGUAUCUGAGGCAGUGGUGGAAAACAUGGUAGAGCGACGCCGCGUGUGUGAUAAAGGCGUUCGGGUCGUAAUGCACUGUUGUGGGUGGAAAACAGCUAGCAUAGGAAAUGAUGUGUGUGUGACGGUACCAGAUAAAAAAGCAACGGCUAACUACGUG
This 497-nucleotide ribosomal RNA is filed under the name uncultured bacterium. Its description in RNAcentral is "partial 16S ribosomal RNA". It matches the Rfam family "Bacterial small subunit ribosomal RNA", at positions 28 to 507 of the family's 1533-position model. The record is from RNAcentral.